Mercenaria mercenaria is the source of this 1282-nucleotide long non-coding RNA. RefSeq lists it as uncharacterized. The transcript is spliced from 6 exons. The record is from RefSeq and is a predicted model, not a curated record. Lineage: Eukaryota; Metazoa; Mollusca; Bivalvia; Venerida; Veneridae.
GGUGCCGACACCAUUAUGACGUGGCUUGUGAUGCUGGUUUUACUACAGGCUUUUACGUCGCCAGUAACAGACGCCUGCUUAGAUAUAGCUGUUACGGAUUCAUGUGGUGACUCAUUCAGCAUGGAAGUGAUAGAAGAUGCUUGUGUGAGGUAUACUGGAGGGUAUUUGGACUACAAUGGCUGUACACUUUAGUUCACCAAUAGCGAUAGACUGUAUAAACAAUUCUGCAUCAAACCAGAAACUUUACAACUAAGCUGUAGUACUGAAGUGAAAUAUUACAGGAGUUUUGCAGACGAUUUCUUUGGUGCCGAGAGGAAGUUUACUUGUGGGCAAAUAUCUUACGACGAAUGGUGUGACUCUUCUUCGAGUGUUUUUAUAAAAAUCACUUCUUUGAGCGGAAGUGAUAAAGUGACACUAAAAGUGUCUUUAGAAAAAGAAACGGAUUCCACGAUCUCCCCCGGAGUCAUGGUGGCGAUAUGUUUUUCCUCAGCAAUUGUACUAUUUAUGAUAGUAAGCUGCAUAAUCAUGAGAUGUCAUUACCAGAAUGCGCGCGUUUCAGCAGGUCCAACAAAUGAUGUGACAAUGCAUACUUCAGCUGAAUACAAUCAGUCGGGACUGUCUGGGAACCAGCGAUCCGAGAUAGAUGGGUAUCAGUCAUAUCCUACAGGUACUCACGCUCUGUCGGAAACAGCGCUUCGGCAAACAACCCAUGAGGGACGAAUAUUCCAGUAUUUUUAUGCACCCCCACCAUACGAGGCUGCCAUGAGUUCCACUUAUGAUGAAAAAGUAUAAGUUGGAAUGGGAUAGCAAGCGAUGUUAAAACAGUUUUCAGCACUCAGAUUAAAUCAAAAUAUCUAAACACCUUAAUUUGACUUUAAGUGAAAAUAUCUUUUUAGCCGAUUUUAUUUCUAUUUCUUAUAUGAUAUAGCAAUUAUUAUUAUACUUUUAACCAAACUUUGAAGUCACUUAAAACCUGAAGAAUUUUGCACAGUUCUGGUCUUAGUUUUUAGCCUUUUCGUUAACCUCAUCAAACCUUACACCCUAAUAAAGUGAUAUUUUUUAGACCUGUAUGCGAUAUCGAAAUUAUCCGGAAUUUAUUCUCUCAGAUUAGAUUGAAAUAUUACACUAAAUUCUUCUUAAUUUGACUUAAUGUGAAAAUAUCAUUUUGCGAAUUUGUAAUGGUGAUUUAUUUCUUUUAUCUUACAUGAGAAAUUGUAUUUAUAAAACUUUUUAUCAAACAUUGAAAACACUCAAAAUAUGAACAAAUUAGUUUGAAAUACUG